AGAUUGAACGCUGGCGGCAUGCCUUACACAUGCAAGUCGAACGGCAGCACGGGGGCAACCCUGGUGGCGAGUGGCGAACGGGUGAGUAAUAUAUCGGAACGUGCCCUGGAGUGGGGGAUAACGUAGCGAAAGUUACGCUAAUACCGCAUACGAUCUACGGAUGAAAGUGGGGGAUUCGCAAGACCUUGCGCGAAUGGAGCGGCCGAUGGCAGAUUAGGUAGUUGGUGAGGUAAAGGCUCACCAAGCCUUCGAUCUGUAGCUGGUCUGAGAGGACGACCAGCCACACUGGGACUGAGACACGGCCAGACUCCCGACGGGAGCAGCGAGUACGGGGAUUUUGGACAAGUGGGACGAAAGCCGUGACGUCCAGCCAGUCGCCG
This 380-nucleotide ribosomal RNA is filed under the name uncultured soil bacterium. Its description in RNAcentral is "bacterial SSU rRNA". It matches the Rfam family "Bacterial small subunit ribosomal RNA", at positions 26 to 399 of the family's 1533-position model. The record is from RNAcentral.